AUUUAAAGGUAUUAUUCAUUUUCUUCAUUAAACUCUUCUGCUCUUAAAUGUUUUUCUUUUUAGUGAGCGUCCACUGUUUUCACCAUCAGAAAAAGAAAAACAAGCAUUAAAAAUAAACAAAGCACACAUCCCCUUCCUUGGAGGAAAGAAGAUAAUCCCCUGGCUUCUGAGAGCUCACGUAUCACCUGGCAGAUUAAAUAUGAGAAUUGUAUUACCUGAAUGGAGAAAGAAGAUACCCUCGUUGCUGCUGUGAU
Molecule: long non-coding RNA, 254 nt
Organism: Bos indicus x Bos taurus (hybrid cattle)
Lineage: Eukaryota; Metazoa; Chordata; Mammalia; Artiodactyla; Bovidae
Source: Ensembl